UUCUAUUUAUGGAAAUUGUAGAGGCUAGAGACAUAGCAAUCGUCAGGCUUCAGUUUUGUACUGACCACUCCAAGGCUUGUUCAACCUGGUGAAUCUUUCCUUCAUCUGCAUCAUUUUUCGCUUCAGUCUGUACAUCCUCGCCCUCCGCACAUCCUCGCCCUCCGCCCGCCGAUCCUAUUCUCCGCCGCCCGCCUUCCUCUGCUCAUCCUCUGCCGCCGCCGAUCUCAUCUGAGCCAGUACAAAUAUUGCCACUCAUCAACAUCUGCAGCAUCUAAGUGAAGUGAUUAUGUGGAUCUUGUGAGGAAAACAGAUAGGCCAAGAAGCCUGGGAGGUUGUCUACAGUCACUGGCCUGGUGGGUUUGAGGCGACACGGGCCUGCCUGGCUCACCUUCGUCUUCUUCCUCGCCCUGCCACACACAGGAACAUAGGAGGGAGCAGCGGAGGGGCGUUGCCGCAACGGGCCGACCGGGCGGGAGGCACCGGCGGGCUCGGGAGGAUGCGUUGCACUCGUCCAGACGGAGAGUAGGCGCCGGGGAAGACCAGGGCAGCCGCGGCUUGAGGCGACAAAGGGCAAGGGCGGGCGGCAGCCGGACUUGGGGGCAGCUGCCACAGGCACUCCGGCGGCGAGAUUGUCACACCGGUGCUGCAUACCACCGUGUGACUGCCAGUUGGCAUGCCAAGUGUAAGCGUGUGUGGUCCCACAUGUAAGCCGCUAGGGCCAGGAGCCAGUAGGUGUGCGUGUGUACUUAAGCCCUGGAGAUGGGCGUGUAUCGCAAGUCUGAAGAAGUAAACUAUUUCCCC
RNAcentral lists this ribosomal RNA (801 nucleotides) under Triticum aestivum (bread wheat). RNAcentral describes it as "partial small subunit ribosomal RNA". The record is from RNAcentral. Lineage: Eukaryota; Viridiplantae; Streptophyta; Magnoliopsida; Poales; Poaceae.